UUUCUGUAUCUUUGUAAUUUAAAUGUUUAGAAUAUAUAUCAGGGGUCUGUCUAGGUUUUUCUGAGAAGUACCCAUUUUGUGAAAAUUUAGACAUAAUUUGUGAAAAAUUAACAAUUAUAUUAAAAAAUCAACACAAAAAUAUGG
Parasteatoda tepidariorum (common house spider) is the source of this 144-nucleotide non-coding RNA. NCBI's taxonomy places the organism in Eukaryota, Metazoa, Arthropoda, Arachnida, Araneae, Theridiidae. The record is from RefSeq and is a predicted model, not a curated record.